CGCCCAAUAGCUAGCCCACUCACUAACAAGCAACAUACCACCAUAACUAACCCCUCAUACACCAGACAAAAUUAAACAAACCAUUUUUCCCCCUAAGUAUGGGUGACAGAAAAGGAACAUUAGAGCAAUAGAGAAAGUACCGCAAGGGAAAGCUGAAAGAGAAAUGAAACAACCCAGUUAAGCCUAAAGAAGCAGAGACUAGACCUCGUACCUUUUGCAUCAUGAACUAGCGAGAAUAACCAGGCGAAAAGAUUUUUAGUCUGAUGUCCCGAAACCAAGUGAGCUACUCCAAGACAGCCUAUAACAAGGGCAAACCCGUCUCUGUGGCAAAAGAGUGGGAAGAGCUUUGAGUAGAGGUGACAGACCUAUCGAACUUGGUCAUAGCUGGUUGCCUGAGAAAUGGAUAGAAGUUCAGCCUUUUAAGUUCUUUAUUCAUAGCCAAGUCAGAUAGAAAGAAACUAAAAGAGUUACCCAAAGGGGGUACAGCCCCUUUAGGACAAGACACAACUUCCCCAGGAGGAUAAAGAUCAGAACAAUAAUAGGAGAGCAUGUUUUAGUGGGCCUAAGAGCAGCCACCCCUAAUGAAAGCGUUAUAGCUCAAACACCCUCCCCAUCCACAGAUUCCGACAAUAACAUCUCAACCCCUAAUAAUACCAGGCCGUCCCAUGCCCCCAUGGGAGUGACCAUGCUAGUAUGAGUAAUAAGAGAAUUAGACUCUCUCCCCGCAUACGUGUACGUCGGAACGAACCCCCACCGAUCCUUAACGGACCCAAUACAAAGAGGAAAUAGGGCCACACGAUAGAGAACAAGAAAAACACCCUAAAAUUAACCGUUAACCCUACACCGGUAUGCCUGUAAGGAAAGACUAAAAAGGAAAGAAGGAACUCGGCAAACACUUACAAGCCUCGCCUGUUUACCAAAAACAUCGCCUCUUGCAAAAUCAACAAAUAAGAGGUCCCGCCUGCCCUGUGACUAUAUGUUUAACGGCCGCGGUAUUUUGACCGUGCGAAGGUAGCGCAAUCACUUGUCUUUUAAAUGGAGACCUGUAUGAAUGGCACGACGAGGGCUUAACUGUCUCCUUUCCUAAGUCAAUGAAAUUGAUCUCUCCGUGCAGAAGCGGGGAUAGACCCAUAAGACGAGAAGACCCUAUGGAGCUUCAGACACUAAAACAGCUCAUGUUAAAAACCCUCACAAAAGAGGCCAAACUAGAUGACCCCUGUCCUAAUGUCUUUGGUUGGGGCGACCACGGGGUAACAAAAAACCCCCGCGCGGAACAGAAACACUGUUUCCAGAACCAAGAGCACCCGCUCUAAGUAACAGGACCCACUUGACCUUUGAGAUCCGGCACUAGCCGAUCAACGGACCGAGUUACCCUAGGGAUAACAGCGCAAUCUUCUUCGAGAGUUCAUAUCGACGAGAGGGUUUACGACCUCGAUGUUGGAUCAGGACAUCCUAAUGGUGCAGCCGCUAUUAAGGGUUCGUUUGUUCAACGAUUAAAGUCCUACGUGAUCUGAGUUCAGACCGGAGCAAUCCAGGUCAGUUUCUAUCUAUGAUACCAUUUUUUCUAGUACGAAAGGACCGAAAAAAAAAAGGCCUAGCCUAAAAGGAUGCCUUUCCCUCACCUAAUGAAAACAACUUAACUAGCCAAGAGGGGGUAUAACCACAAAGCCUGAAACCAAGGCAC
RNAcentral lists this ribosomal RNA (1684 nucleotides) under Scarus niger (dusky parrotfish). RNAcentral describes it as "16S ribosomal RNA". The stretch from base 95 to 1565 matches the Rfam family "Bacterial large subunit ribosomal RNA". Lineage: Eukaryota; Metazoa; Chordata; Actinopteri; Labriformes; Labridae. The record is from RNAcentral.